This 445-nucleotide ribosomal RNA is filed under the name uncultured bacterium. RNAcentral's name for it is "partial 16S ribosomal RNA". It matches the Rfam family "Bacterial small subunit ribosomal RNA", at positions 330 to 792 of the family's 1533-position model. The record is from RNAcentral.
UCCAGACUCCUACGGGAGGCAGCAGUGGGGGAUAUUGCACAAUGGGGGAAACCCUGAUGCAGCGACGCCGCGUGGGUGAAGAAGCGCCUCGGCGCGUAAAGCCCUGUCGGCAGGGAAGAAAAUGACGGUACCUGAAGAAGAAGCCCCGGCUAACUACGUGCCAGCAGCCGCGGUAAUACGUAGGGGGCAAGCGUUAUCCGGAUUUACUGGGUGUAAAGGGGGCGCAGACGGCGAUGCAAGCCAGGAGUGAAAGCCCACGGCCCAACCGUGGGACUGCUCUGGAAACUGUGCGGCUUGAGUGCGGGAGGGGCAGGCGGAAUUCCUAGUGUAGCGGUGAAAUGCGUAGAUAUUAGGAGGAACACCGGCGGCGAAGGCGGCCUGCUGGACCGUAACUGACGUUGAGGCUCGAAAGCGUGGGGAGCAAACAGGAUUAGAUACCCGAGUA